AGAUUGAACGCUAGCGGGAUGCUUUACACAUGCAAGUCGAACGGCAGCGCGGACUUCGGUCUGGCGGCGAGUGGCGAACGGGUGAGUAAUAUAUCGGAACGUGCCCAGUAGCGGGGGAUAACUACGCGAAAGCGUGGCUAAUACCGCAUACGCCCUACGGGGGAAAGGGGGGGAUCGCAAGACCUCUCACUAUUGGAGCGGCCGAUAUCAGAUUAGCUAGUUGGUGAGGUAAAGGCUCACCAAGGCGACGAUCUGUAGCUGGUUUGAGAGGACGACCAGCCACACUGGGACUGAGACACGGCCCAGACUCCUACGGGAGGCAGCGAGUGGGGAAUUUGGACAAUGGGGGAAACCCUGAUCCAGCCAUCCCGCGUGUGCGAUGAAGCCUUCGGGUUGUAAGCACGUUUUGGUACGAGGAAGGAAACGGCGUACGCCCGUAAGUACGGACGUCACGUGACGGUACCUGCAGAAUAAGCACCGGCUAACUACGUCGCCAGCGACGCCGACGUAA
This 511-nucleotide ribosomal RNA is filed under the name uncultured soil bacterium. RNAcentral describes it as "bacterial SSU rRNA". It matches the Rfam family "Bacterial small subunit ribosomal RNA", at positions 26 to 530 of the family's 1533-position model. The record is from RNAcentral.